UUACAUGUGGAAAUCUCUGCCCCCUCAUUCCUUGGGGGUCAGAAAUGCUUCUGUAAUACACUACAUUAAUAGAGGCAUUCUCAGUGCUGCCAGUCUUAUAGUAGAGGUUGAGCGGUAGCAUAUUUCCCUUACAUUA
Molecule: small nucleolar RNA, 136 nt
Organism: Heterocephalus glaber (naked mole-rat)
Lineage: Eukaryota; Metazoa; Chordata; Mammalia; Rodentia; Bathyergidae
Source: Ensembl